RNAcentral lists this ribosomal RNA (492 nucleotides) under uncultured bacterium. RNAcentral describes it as "partial 16S ribosomal RNA". It matches the Rfam family "Bacterial small subunit ribosomal RNA", at positions 29 to 507 of the family's 1533-position model. The record is from RNAcentral.
AGUGAACGCUGGCGGUAGGCCUAACACAUGCAAGUCGAACGGCAGCACAGUAAGAGCUUGCUCUUACGGGUGGCGAGUGGCGGACAGGUGAGGAAUACAUCGGAAUCUACUUUUUCGUGGGGGAUAACGUAGGGAAACUUACGCUAAUACCGCAUACGACCUACGGGUGAAAGCAGGGGAUCUUCGGACCUUGCGCGAUUGAAUGGGCCGAUGUCGGAUUAGCUAGUUGGCGGGGUAAAGGCCCACCAAGGCGACGAUCCGUAGCUGGUCUGAGAGGAUGAUCAGCCACACUGGAACUGAGACACGGUCCAGACUCCUACGGGAGGCAGCAGUGGGGAAUAUUGGACAAUGGGCGCAAGCCUGAUCCAGCCAUACCGCGUGGGUGAAGAAGGCCUUCGGGUUGUAAAGCCCUUUUGUUGGGAAAGAAAAGCAGCAGGUUAAUACCCCGCUGUUCUGACGGUACCCAAAGAAUAAGCACCGGCUAACUUCGUG